GAGUAACGCGUGGGUAACCUGCCUCAUACAGGGGGAUAACAGUUGGAAACGACUGCUAAUACCGCAUAAGCGCACGGUACCGCAUGGUACCGUGUGAAAAACUCUGGUGGUAUGAGAUGGACCCGCGUCUGAUUAGCUAGUUGGUGGGGUAACAGCCUACCAAGGCGACGAUCAGUAGCCGACCUGAGAGGGUGACCGGCCACAUUGGGACUGAGACACGGCCCAAACUCCUACGGGAGGCAGCAGUGGGGAAUAUUGCACAAUGGGGGAAACCCUGAUGCAGCGACGCCGCGUGAGCGAAGAAGUAUUUCGGUAUGUAAAGCUCUAUCAGCAGGGAAGAAAAAAAUGACGGUACCUGACUAAGAAGCACCGGCUAAAUACGUGCCAGCAGCCGCGGUAAUACGUAUGGUGCAAGCGUUAUCCGGACUUACUGGGUGUAAAGGGAGCGCAGGCGGUGCGGCAAGUCUGAUGUGAAAGCCCGGGGCUCAACCCCGGUACUGCAUUGGAAACUGUCGUACUAGAGUGUCGGAGGGGUAAGUGGAAUUCCUAGUGUAGCGGUGAAAUGCGUAGAUAUUAGGAGGAACACCAGUGGCGAAGGCGGCUUACUGGACGAUAACUGACGCUGAGGCUCGAAAGCGUGGGGAGCAAACAGGAUUAGAUACCCUGGUAGUCCACGCUGUAAACGAUGAAUACUAGGUGUUGGAGAGCAUUGCUCUUCGGUGCCGCAG
Molecule: ribosomal RNA, 728 nt
Filed under: uncultured bacterium
Lineage: Bacteria
Description: bacterial SSU rRNA
Rfam family: Bacterial small subunit ribosomal RNA
Source: RNAcentral